AGUGAACGCUGGCGGUAUGCCUAACACAUGCAAGUCGAACGGCAGCACAGUAAGAUCGUGCUCUUACGGUUGGCGAGUGGCGGACGGGUGAGGCAUACAUCGCCAUCUUCUUUUUCUUGGGUGACUACGUAGGGACACUUACGCUAAUACCUCAUACAAUCUACCGGUUAAAUCAAUAGUUCUUGAGAGUUUUCGCGUUUCAUUUAGCCGGUUCCGGAUUAGCUAGUUGGGAGGGUAAAGGCCCACCAAGGCAACGAUGCGUAGCUGGUCUGAGAGGAUGAUCGGCCACACUGGAACUGAGACACGGUCCAGACUCCUACGGGAGGCAGCAGUAGGGAAUCUUCGGCAAUGGGCGCAAGCCUGAUCCAGCAAUGCCGCGUGGGUGAAGAAGGCCUUCGGGUUGUAAAGCCCUUUUGUUGGGAAAGAAAAGCAGCAGAUGAAUACACCGCUGUUCUGACGGUACCCAAAGAAUAAGCACCGGCUAACUUCGUG
RNAcentral lists this ribosomal RNA (492 nucleotides) under uncultured bacterium. RNAcentral describes it as "partial 16S ribosomal RNA". It matches the Rfam family "Bacterial small subunit ribosomal RNA", at positions 29 to 507 of the family's 1533-position model. The record is from RNAcentral.